UCACGUCAGUUCACAUUUCCUUGUGGGAUCUUCAUUGAUACGCCACCGAGAUGUACAGCCUCGAACCUGUUCUAGCAUUCAUGGAGUAGAAGCUUAACUUCGGAAGCCUCGCCCGAGUACGGUUGGGAUUUGGAUGCGAGCAUUGGGCACGUGCUGGAUUUGGUGUUGUCAGCACUACGAUGACCUCCUUCGGCACUCCUGGUUACCACGUUGGCUACGACUACGUUUUUUGGCCCCGGCAACAUCUGCGCGGGUGUGUACCAGCCGCUGGACCAGCUACGCACCGACGUUCACCGAGGGAUUUUUUAGUACCUCAGGAUUUACGGGUUGGGCAGACGCGGAAGCAAGGCGCAACUCCAUUGCCUCUUCACACCCAGUGAAGUGGAGUCGCUACCGCAAAUUUUGGAG
Molecule: long non-coding RNA, 408 nt
Organism: Hyalella azteca
Lineage: Eukaryota; Metazoa; Arthropoda; Malacostraca; Amphipoda; Hyalellidae
Exons: 2
Source: RefSeq, a predicted model, not a curated record